AGAUCAAGUGCAUGAGCUACAACUGAUCUUCCAAGUGAUAGCUGAAGAAAACAUGAAGCUAUGUGAAACCUUGCAUACCAAGUCGGGAGGACUCCAAGAACUAUCUUGCAUACAAGCAAAAAGGCCUUGGUGUUGGCAAACCUGAUUACCAGGCUCCAGAAAGAAUCACUAAAACGUGAGAAAGAAGGGCCAAUUCAUACUCACGAUGUCAGUGUCGCAUCGUACAAGAAUAAG
Molecule: long non-coding RNA, 234 nt
Filed under: Brassica napus (rape)
Lineage: Eukaryota; Viridiplantae; Streptophyta; Magnoliopsida; Brassicales; Brassicaceae
Description: long non-coding RNA (BNAP_LNC007571)
Source: RNAcentral